GAGAUUUCACAGCAAUAUGAAUUCAUGUUUCGGAUAAAAACUAGACAAGAUUUAGUGUCAGGUUAGACACUAACCUGACUAGGGCAAGAGAAGUCCGAAAAAGUAAGCCAAAGAGAUAUUGAAGAGAAUCCUUCUGGCUGCCCCAGAUUGUCUCAUUUGGACGGAUUGCUCAGGUUUCCAGGGUAGAGCCCUCUACCAAGUCACUCUUUAUAACCCUCACAGAGCCAUAAUGUGAACACUUUUCAUAUACCAGCUGGUUUGGAUGCUGAUUCCCUUCCAAUCUCAUGCUGAAAUCUGAGGGGAAUUUUGGAUGUGAGGCCUAAUGGGAGGUGUUUGGAUCAUGGGUGUGGAUUCCUCAUGGAUGAAUAGAUUAAUGCCCUCCCUCAGAGAAUCUUGCUCUGUUGCUCAGGCUGGAGUGCAGUGGUGUGAUCUCAGCUCACUGUAAGUUCUGCUGCCCAAGUUGAAGCGAUUCUCCCACCUCAGCAUCCUGAGUAGCUGGACUACAGGCAUGACCACAUUCUCCUUGUCCAGACACUGGCGCCCAAGGUGGAAGCUGUAGGCGGAGUGUGGAUCCCACGGACCUGUCAUUUGACUUUGCAAAAGCCCACUGAUGAAGGCUAAUGUGCUCCAUUUGGACUGAUUCAACAUGGUACGAAUUUCCUUUGGUUGUAUUGUAACUCCUGGACUGGAACACUUGUGAUCCUCUUUGGCUCCUGUGGCUGCAUUUAAUCGCAGAGAUCUUCCGGAACUGAUCAAUGGUGACAGUAGACAGAUGUCCUGAGACUCCUUAUUUCCCAGGAUGAACUGUCAUGGUGGACAGGCUCUCCAUUGUUCGUAGAAUCUAGUUUGGAUACCAGAAGCACAUGUCUAAAAUAUAAUUCUGAACUUUCCAUUAUCAUGAAACUAAUGCCAUAGAAUAAAUUGGCAAAUCUUGUUCCUAAACUUACCUCGUUUUUCUCACUAAUUAAUGUGACAAUUAAGGGAGAAGAGAUAAAAUGGCAAAAUGGACAUAAUAAUACUGCCAUGCUUGUCUUAGUUACUGCAAGAUCAAAGGGUCUACAAAACCAUUUUGAAGAAUAUAAACGAUCACUGAGAUGCUAGGCAUAACUGUUUAUUAUACUGCUUUGUAUUAUCUAGAUGUAUGUUCUGGAAACGUCUCAUAUCAUAUCCUGCCUAAGUAGAAAUUAUUGUAGUUUAUGCCAUUUGGGUUUCAUAGGUGAAUACAGUUAAGGUGUACUUUACAGCUCUAGGCUAUCCCAGGCAGAGGGAUUUUUAACACUGGUCUCUCCAGUUUUAUUACCAGGUAUACAUUUGGCCUGGUAUGCAUAAUGUUCAUCUCUUGGAUUUAAUAACCGGGUAAUCAAGUUAUGCCACUUAAUUCUUUAGCAAAUGACAAUCUGAGUACAAAUCAUUUCUAAAUUGUUUCUCACAUUAAAUUAAUCCAAAAGUAGGCUUGCUGAUAAUUCUCUAUUACUUCUCACUUAUCUUCCAGUUUAGUAAUUCUUAAUUUUUCUAAUGCUGAGGGCUCAUGCUCCCUUGGAGUGCCUGGCCUCUGCUGUAUAUUAAGUCUGCCUGAGUUCUGAGCUUUACCUUCAGUGACCUGCUGCUAAUUCUAUGCUUUGAGCUCCUCAGAAGUAUCUCAUUAAUCCUAGCAAUAAAAAGUAUUUUUAUGCAAAGCACAUUUCUGGGACCUAGUAACAAUACAAAACAAUAAUACAACAAGGAUGAUGAUAUUUCUGAUUAUCCAGUGCCUCCCUGCUUGGAUUUGAUAGCCUGUUUAAUAA
This is a long non-coding RNA of Pongo pygmaeus (Bornean orangutan), 1784 nucleotides long. RefSeq lists it as uncharacterized. Lineage: Eukaryota; Metazoa; Chordata; Mammalia; Primates; Hominidae. The record is from RefSeq and is a predicted model, not a curated record. The transcript has 5 exons.